GUUUGAUCCUGGCUCAGAUUGGGAACGCUAGCGGGAUGCCUUACACAUGCAAGUCGAACGGCAGCACGGACUUCGGUCUGGUGGCGAGUGGCGAACGGGUGAGUAAUGUAUCGGAACGUGCCCAGUAGCGGGGGAUAACUACGCGAAAGCGUAGCUAAUAUCGCACACACCCCACGGGGGAAAGCAGGGGGAUUCAUCUGCACUAUUGGAGCGGCCGGAUAUCGGAUUAGCUAGUUGGUGGGGUAACGGCUCACCAAGGCGACGAUCCGUAGCCGGUUUGAGAGGACGACCAGCCACACUGGGACUGAGACACGGCCCAGACUCCUACGGGAGGCAGCAGUGGGGAAUUUUGACAAUGGGGGAAACCCUGAUCCAGCCAUCUCCGGCGUGCGAUGAAGGCCUUCGGGUUGUAAAGCACUUUUGGCAGGAAAGAAACGUCGUGGGCUAAUACCCCGCGAAACUGACGGUACCUGCAGAAUAAGCACCGCCAACUACGUGUGCCAGCAGCCGCGGCAUGUAGGUGCAAGCGUUAACGGAAUUACUUUUUGGGCGUAAAGCGUGCGCAGGCGGUUCGAAAGGAAGAUGGUGAAAUCCCAGAGCUUAACUUUGAACUGCAUUUUUAACUACCGAGCUAGAGUGUGUCAGAGGCGGUGAAUUCCGCGUGUAGCAGGAAAUGCGUAGAUAUGCGGAGGAACACCGAUGGCGAAGGCAGCCUCCUGGGAUAACACUGACGCUCAUGCACGAAAGCGUGGGGAGCAAACAGGAUUAGAUACCGGUGAACCACGCCCCAAACGAUGUCAAUCAGCUGUUGGGGCCUUUCGCCUGUAGCGCAGCUAAUGCGAAGCUGACCGCCCGGGGAGUACGGUCGUGACAAACUCAAAGAAUUGACGGGGACCCGCACAAGCGGUGGAUGAUGUGGAUUAAUUCGAUGCAACGCGAAAAACCUUACCUACCCUUGACAUGUCUGGAAUGCCGAAGAGAUUUGGCAGUGCUCGCAGAGAACCGGAACACAGGUUGCAUGGCUGUCGUCAGCUCGUGUCAUCGUGAGAUGUUGGGUUAAGUCCCGCAACGAGCGCAACCUUGUCAUUAGUUGCUACGAAAGGGCACUCUAAUGAGACUGCCGGUGACAAACCGGAGGAAGGUGGGGAUGACGUCAAGUCCUCAUGGCCCUUAUGGGUAGGGCUUCACACGUCAUACAACGGUCGGGACAGAGGGUCGCCAACCCGCGAGGGGGAGCCAAUCCCAGAAACCCGAUCGUAGUCCGAUCGCAGCUGCAACUCGACUGCGUGGAAGUCGGAAUCGCUAGUAAUCGCGGAUCAGCAUGUCGCGUGAAUACGGUUCCUGGUCUUGGUGGCUAUUAACUGCCCGUCACACCAUGGGAGGCUUUACCAGAAGUAGUUAGCCUAACCGCAAGGGGGGCGAUUACCACGGUAGGAUUCAUGACUGGGGUGAAGCCGUAACAAGGUAGC
This 1469-nucleotide ribosomal RNA is filed under the name uncultured Bordetella sp. RNAcentral's name for it is "partial 16S-23S ribosomal RNA intergenic spacer". It matches the Rfam family "Bacterial small subunit ribosomal RNA". The record is from RNAcentral. Lineage: Bacteria; Pseudomonadati; Pseudomonadota; Betaproteobacteria; Burkholderiales; Alcaligenaceae.